Molecule: ribosomal RNA, 253 nt
Filed under: uncultured bacterium
Lineage: Bacteria
Description: partial 16S ribosomal RNA
Rfam family: Bacterial small subunit ribosomal RNA
Source: RNAcentral
UACGGAGGUCCCGAGCGUUGUUCGGAAUUACUGGGCGUAAAGGGAGCGUAGGCGGACAGGUCAGUCGGAAGUGAAAAUCCGGGGCUUAACCUCGGACCUGCUUUCGAUACUGCCUGUCUUGAGUUCGCGAGAGGAAGAUGGAAUUCAGGGUGUAGCGGUGAAAUGCACAGAUAUCCUGAGGAACACCGGUGGCGAAAGCGGUCUUCUGGCGCGAAACUGACGCUGAGGCUCGAAAGCGUGGGGAGCAAACAGG